GGCGAACACUCGUGUAGGCAACAUCGCUCAGCUUCGUGCAAGCGGGGCUGCGCUGGAAAGCAAGGAUCUUAAAGGCCGCUACGAUGGGUGGAGACGUGCCCGUGAUAUGUGGAGGAAGUACACCCACGAGAUGGAGCACCGGAUUGGGGAAGAGCGAGUAAAGGCUAAGCGUG
Molecule: long non-coding RNA, 173 nt
Organism: Ornithodoros turicata
Lineage: Eukaryota; Metazoa; Arthropoda; Arachnida; Ixodida; Argasidae
Exons: 3
Source: RefSeq, a predicted model, not a curated record